RNAcentral lists this long non-coding RNA (319 nucleotides) under Capsicum annuum. RNAcentral's name for it is "long non-coding RNA (CANN_LNC021082)". Lineage: Eukaryota; Viridiplantae; Streptophyta; Magnoliopsida; Solanales; Solanaceae. The record is from RNAcentral.
UGGAUGCAUAUGACCUGCUACCUUGCUCCUGCCUACCUCUAGGCACAGAAACACAAGCAGAUAACAGUGCUGGCAUAGAUGAACAAUCUUGAUACUGAGGGCGACUCCCUCUCUACGAUCUAGUCUGACCCAGUCUGUGUUGCUCAUACCUAGCUCUCUUAGUCCCUCUCAUUCUAUCUCUCUCCUUAAUCUUAUCUACCUCAAUCUGUUGGACAUGAGUCAUCAGCCUAGAAAGAUUUAUCUCACUCUUCAGCAUAGCAUACCUACACUUCUUAACCAUAUAAUUAGACACUCUAGUCACAAACUUACUCAUACUAGC